This 1980-nucleotide long non-coding RNA is filed under the name Nicotiana tabacum (common tobacco). Its description in RNAcentral is "long non-coding RNA (NTAB_LNC017397)". The record is from RNAcentral. Lineage: Eukaryota; Viridiplantae; Streptophyta; Magnoliopsida; Solanales; Solanaceae.
ACGGAUUAUCAAAAAAUUCUGCUAGCUACAAGUGUUUUAGCGACAAAUUAGCGACGAUGUUCGUAGCUAAUUUCAGUUUUUUUGUAGUGGAUGUCAUAACAGUAUAAAAAGUCACACAUGCCAUUUUCCCGAAAGCGCCGAUUGGAAACGAUAUUUAGUUUUGAAAGAGGGAUUUUUGUUACCAUAUUAUUUUUUAGGUAAGGGAAAUUCUAAUUUCACCCAUGAAAAACACGAAAAUGGCUUUCUCUUGCACAUCAUCUUCCUUUAAGCAUCUGAAGCACAAAUGUGGAGAGAAAUAAUAUCUUUAGAACACUUAAACUCCUCCAAGAUUAAUAUAUAUGGGGAUGUUGUCUUACUAUUUCUAACUAUGGUUUUCCGUUUCUUCUUUUCGUUCCUUUUUCUUUUUAUUUUUUAUUUUAGGACUAUGGAGAGUAGAAAGCAAAUCAAAGGAGGAUGGAAAGUUUGGGUGGCUAAAGAGACAUCAUCAAAGGGAUGAAAAUCAAGGAAAAUGCACGACAGGAAAAGAAACGAACAAUUUUAUUGGAUUAGAAUGGAGGAACCAUAGUAAUAUAAUAAAAUCAUGCACGAAAAUGCUUGAAACAAUUCCAAAUUGACAGUUGCCUUUAUUAUCUUCAAAUAGUUUCAUUGCUCUCUAACAAAUUCUUCAUCCAGAGAUCAAUAAUACAUCACUUCUCUUUAUGAUCAAUAUUCGGAAUCAGAAGAAAGGUAAUCUGUUGUGCAAACUCUGUUAGCUUGAAUUUCUUUAUUUGUAGCUUUCUUUGAUAUCCACAAUCUCAUUCAGUGUGAGUAUCUAAUUUUAUAUAUAGCCUUUAGAACUUUCCUCCGUAAUUUGUCAAGAGCAAAUGCACUAAAAAUAUUACUCUUAUUUUACUAUUGCUGCAAUUGUACUUUUAGUUUAUGCGCUAACCUCAUUGCUCAGACCUCUAAGAUUUUGUUAUACUUGCAUAUCCAUGAGACUAGCCCUCAAUAAAAGUUUUCUGCGUGAUAUUUUCUUUAAACAGAGUUAUACAAUAGUGGUAUAUCUUCAUCUUUCUGUAUAUUCUUCAUAGUUUUGAUAGUAUUUUUCAUCACUAACUUAUAUCUCCUAAUUAAAAUGGAUUUUGCAUAAAUAAGCACUAAUUAAAUGGGUUUGGUGAAACAUGAUUUAUUAGUAAAUUUUCCCUCAAGUAGUUGAUAAAAUUUAAGACUAAUAAAUUUCUGUUAUUGUGAAAUCGGAACUUCUUUCAUUCAAUAUGAAUAAUGAAUUUAAAAUGGUGGACAGAAGCUAAUUAACGAUAAUUAUGAUUAGGACUUAACAUAUUGAUUAAAUUUUAAUUGUUUAUCUUUGUAGAUUCAAACGAUAUCCAACUACCCUCAACAAACAAGUCAACAUACGACACACAAAAUUUUGUGCUUUAUUUUUCGUGUAUAAUUAUUUAUUCAAAUUUAUUGAUAUUAUUUGAUGAAAAACAUAUAUUACAUAACUUGAUAUAUGCGUCCAAUGCACGUGCCAAGAGACAAUAUUUUAGGAACAUAUUUUGUAAUAACGGAUGCCUUGAAUUGGAAUUCCACGGGAAAUAUAGCUCUUCUAAUUUCAUUUGAUAUGCGUCCAAUAGCAUUGGAGGUUCAAUCAUUGGCUAAUCGACGUUUCAUGGUGGAUGUUUCAGUAUCGGGUAGAAUUCUUCCUUGUGUUGGUUGCACAGUUGUAAUUGCUUGAGCAAAUCACAUCCCACCAGCAUAUUGAUUCACAUUUCCUUGUACUUAUGGUGGAGGUUCAGAAGGAGAGGCUUUCUCCGUGAUUAUUUGUCAAGUAGCUGCAUGUUAUAUGUUGAUUACAAGAGUCUUAGGUUAAAAUUGAGCUAGCAAAAUAGAUGAAAGAAACAUACACCAUGAAUGUCAUCUAUAAAGAAAUAGUAGGUAUCAACUAUGAACGCUUCAUUACGUGUAUGUACCUUAUAAAGAAAAAUAAGUAAAAACUCA